CCUACGGGGGGCUGCAGUCGCGAAAACUUUGCAAUAAGCGCAAGCUUAACAGGGCUAUCCCGAGUGCCAUCCGCUGAGGAAGGCUUUUACCCAGUCUAGAACGCUGGGGGAAUAAGGAGAGGGCAAGUCUGGUGUCAGCCGCCGCGGUAAUACCAGCUCUCCGAGUGGUGUGGAUGUUUAUUGGGCCUAAAGCAUCCGUAGCUGGCUAAGUUAGUCCCCUGUUAAAUCCACCGAAUUAAUCGUUGGAUUGCGGGGGAUACUGCUUGGCUAGGGGACGAGAGAGGCAGACGGUAUUUUCGGGGUAGGGGUGAAAUCCUAUAAUCCCGGGAAGACCACCAGUGGCGAAGGCUGUCUGCUAGAACGCGCCCGACGGUGAGGGAUGAAAGCUGGGGGAGCGAACCGGAUUAGAUACCCGGGUAGUC
This 422-nucleotide ribosomal RNA is filed under the name uncultured bacterium. RNAcentral's name for it is "bacterial SSU rRNA". It matches the Rfam family "Archaeal small subunit ribosomal RNA", at positions 322 to 746 of the family's 1478-position model. The record is from RNAcentral.